AUCAAUCGUUUUCAAUUUCAAAAGAUUUUUGUAUUGUAUUCGAAGUAAUUCAGUUGCAUUUUACGCGUUAUAUUUUUUGUUUCUCCCCUUGUUUUUCAGGUAUGACUACAUACAUACAUUUAUGGUAGCUUUAUUCAGUAUGGUAUCUGUAAGUUGUACAAAAUACACAUUUAUGCAUGCAGUACUUAUCUUGAAUGGCAAAAUUAUUGAUGAGCUGCACAUUGAACUAUUUAAUGGCUUUGAGUUAGAAUCAAAUUUCGUAUUUUUGAUCACUUGAACUUGAGUUUUGAGCUAAAAAGAAGUCGGCUACCCAUCCAGCUAGAUGCGCGUGGCAUGUCUGGGUAUGAGCAUGACCUUUGAUUGGUAUGUGGAAUCGUUGAUUAGGGUUAUUUAUAUACAGAUUAUAAUAUCGUAUAAUCAUACGUAUAUAUAAGUAUUGCGUAAAUACGAUUUACAUUCGCUUAAUGAACAAUCACAACGCAGAGUAUUCGAAUUAAGUGAGUGAGCAGAGCGGUGCGUCGCUGUAGCUGAGUUAUUUCUUGAAAUAAGCUUUAGAGAACAAGGGGAAAAAUAGCACACGAUCCUUGUCACAGAUUGUCUUUCUCGUU
Molecule: long non-coding RNA, 608 nt
Filed under: Drosophila guanche
Lineage: Eukaryota; Metazoa; Arthropoda; Insecta; Diptera; Drosophilidae
Source: RNAcentral